UCCGGUUGAUCCCGCCGGACCUGACUGCUAUCGGAUUGAUACUAAGCCAUGCGAGUCAUUGUAGCAAUACAAGGCAUACGGCUCAGUAACGCGUAGUCAACCUAACCUAUGGACGGGAAUAACCUCGGGAAACUGAGAAUAAUGCCCGAUAGAACAUUAUGCCUGGAAUGGUUUAUGUUCCAAAUGAUUUAUCGCCGUAGGAUGGGACUGCGGCCUAUCAGUUUGUUGGUGAGGUAAUGGCCCACCAAGACUAUUACAGGUACGGGCUCUGAGAGGAGUAGCCCGGAGAUGGGUACUGAGACACGGACCCAGGCCCUAUGGGGCGCAGCAGGCGAGAAAACUUUGCAAUGUGCGAAAGCACGACAAGGUUAAUCCGAGUGAUUUCUGCUAAAGAAAUCUUUUGUUAGUCCUAGAAACACUAACGAAUAAGGGGUGGGCAAGUUCUGGUGUCAGCCGCCGCGGUAAAACCAGCACCUCAAGUGGUCAGGAUGAUUAUUGGGCCUAAAGCAUCCGUAGCCGGCUCUGUAAGUUUUCGGUUAAAUCUGUACGCUUAACGUACAGGCUGCCGGGAAUACUGCAAAGCUAGGGAGUGGGAGAAGUAGACGGUACUCGGUAGGAAGUGGUAAAAUGCUUUGAUCUAUCGAUGACCACCUGUGGCGAAGGCGGUCUACUAGAACACGUCCGACGGUGAGGGAUGAAAGCUGGGGGAGCAAACCGGAUUAGAUACCCGGGUAGUCCCAGCUGUAAACUAUGCAAACUCAGUGAUGCAUUGGCUUGUGGCCAAUGCAGUGCUGCAGGGAAGCCGUUAAGUUUGCCGCCUGGGAAGUACGUACGCAAGUAUGAAACUUAAAGGAAUUGGCGGGGGAGCACCACAAGGGGUGAAGCCUGCGGUUCAAUUGGAUUCAACGCCGGA
This 913-nucleotide ribosomal RNA is filed under the name uncultured marine archaeon. RNAcentral's name for it is "bacterial SSU rRNA". It matches the Rfam family "Archaeal small subunit ribosomal RNA", at positions 1 to 922 of the family's 1478-position model. The record is from RNAcentral.